This 404-nucleotide ribosomal RNA is filed under the name uncultured bacterium. Its description in RNAcentral is "bacterial SSU rRNA". It matches the Rfam family "Bacterial small subunit ribosomal RNA", at positions 355 to 776 of the family's 1533-position model. The record is from RNAcentral.
UAGGGAAUCUUGCGCAAUGGGCGAAAGCCUGACGCAGCGACGCCGCGUGAGGGAUGAAGGCCUUCGGGUUGUAAACCUCUUUCAGCGGGGACGAAAUUGACGGUACCCGCAGAAGAAGGUCCGGCCAACUACGUGCCAGCAGCCGCGGUAAUACGUAGGGACCGAGCGUUGUCCGGAUUUAUUGGGCGUAAAGAGCGCGUAGGCGGCUAUCCACGUCGGGUGUGAAAGCUCGGGGCUCAACCCUGAGAGGCCAUUCGAUACGGGAUAGCUAGAGGCAGCUAGGGGAGAGUGGAAUUCCUGGUGUAGCGGUGAAAUGCGCAGAUAUCAGGAGGAACACCGGUGGCGAAGGCGGCUCUCUGGGGCUGUCCUGACGCUGAGGCGCGAAAGCUGGGGGAGCAAACAGG